Molecule: ribosomal RNA, 491 nt
Filed under: uncultured bacterium
Lineage: Bacteria
Description: bacterial SSU rRNA
Rfam family: Bacterial small subunit ribosomal RNA
Source: RNAcentral
GAUGAACGCUGGCGGCAUGCCUAACACAUGCAAGUCGAACGGACUCUUAUAUUAGAAAAUCUCUACAUGCUUAGAGGUUCCCUAAUAUCAGAGUUAGUGGCGGACGGGUGAGUAACACGUUAGUACCUGCUCUUCAGUGGGGAAUAACUCGGCGAAAGUCGAGCUAAUACCGCAUAGGCUCGUUUACGAGUAAAGACUUCGGUCGCUGAAGGAGGGGCUUGCGUCUGAUUAGCUAGUUGGUGGGGUAAAGGCCCACCAAGGCGACGAUCAGUAGCUGGUUCGAGAGGAUGACCAGCCACACUGGGACUGAGAUACGGCCCAGACUCCUACGGGAGGCAGCAGUGAGGAAUAUUGGACAAUGGGGGCAACCCUGAUCCAGCCAUGCCGCGUGAGUGAUGAAGGCCCUAGGGUUGUAAAGCUCUUUUGUGCGGGAAGAUAAUGACGGUACCGCAAGAAUAAGCCCCGGCUAACUUCGUGCCAGCAGCCGCGGU